This 286-nucleotide long non-coding RNA is filed under the name Elaeis guineensis (African oil palm). RNAcentral's name for it is "long non-coding RNA (EGUI_LNC023910)". The record is from RNAcentral. Lineage: Eukaryota; Viridiplantae; Streptophyta; Magnoliopsida; Arecales; Arecaceae.
CCUAGACUGUCCAUAUGCGCCCACUUUAUUUUUUUAAAGUAAUUUUUAAACUUUAAACCUUGAAGCUCCUCAAAGAUAAGUUCGUUACGGAUAAGAUGAUGAUCAAUUAUCUUAAUGAUAUACUCUAACUGAACCAAAGCUCACUGAUUCAAAAUUGAACCCUGUAUGAACCAACUAAUAGUAUGAAUUGAUAUGCCCUGUAUCUGAUCAUAUUGGGUCCAAAUUGACACGGGAAUGAGAGAGAAUCGAGGAGGAAGGAAAAAGAGUAAGAGGGUGGAGGGAGGAA